Molecule: ribosomal RNA, 829 nt
Filed under: uncultured Sphingobacteriales bacterium
Lineage: Bacteria; Pseudomonadati; Bacteroidota; Sphingobacteriia; Sphingobacteriales
Description: SSU rRNA
Rfam family: Bacterial small subunit ribosomal RNA
Source: RNAcentral
CAUGCAAGUAGAACGGUAACAGAGAGAGCUUGCUCUUUGCUGACGAGUUGCGAACGGGUGCGUAACGCGUAUGCAACCUACCCAUAACAGGGGGAUAGCCCAUAGAAAUGUGGAUUAAUACCCCAUAAUAUCAUAGAUUGGCAUCAUGAAAUGAUUAAAACUCCGGUGGUUAUGGAUGGGCAUGCGUGACAUUAGCUAGUUGGUGAGGUAACUGCUCACCAAGGCAACGAUGUCUAGGGGUUCUGAGAGGAUGAUCCCCCACACUGGUACUGAGACACGGACCAGACUCCUACGGGAGGCAGCAGUGAGGAAUAUUGCGCAAUGGAGGAAACUCUGACGCAGCCAUGCCGCGUGCAGGAAGACUGCCCUAUGGGUUGUAAACUGCUUUUAUAUAGGAAGAACUAUAGCUACGUGUAGCUAUUUGACGGUACUAUACGAAUAAGGACCGGCUAACUCCGUGCCAGCAGCCGCGGUAAUACGGAGGGUCCAAGCGUUAUCCGGAUUUAUUGGGUUUAAAGGGUCCGUAGGCGGGUUAUUAAGUCAGUGGUGAAAUCCUACAGCUCAACUGUAGAACUGCCAUUGAAACUGUUAACCUUGAGUAUAAUUGAAGUGGGCGGAAUGUGUCAUGUAGCGGUGAAAUGCUUAGAUAUGACACAGAACACCGAUUGCGAAGGCAGCUCACUAAGUUAUAACUGACGCUGAGGGACGAAAGCGUGGGUAGCGAACAGGAUUAGAUACCCUGGUAGUCCACGCCGUAAACGAUGUACACUCGUUGCUGGCGAUACACAGUCAGUGACCAAGCGAAAGUGUUAAGUGUACCACCUGGGGA